RNAcentral lists this ribosomal RNA (395 nucleotides) under uncultured Polaribacter sp. Its description in RNAcentral is "bacterial SSU rRNA". It matches the Rfam family "Bacterial small subunit ribosomal RNA", at positions 103 to 496 of the family's 1533-position model. Lineage: Bacteria; Pseudomonadati; Bacteroidota; Flavobacteriia; Flavobacteriales; Flavobacteriaceae. The record is from RNAcentral.
CGGGUGCGUAACGCGUAUAGAACCUACCUUUUACAGAGGAAUAGCCUUUAGAAAUGAAGAUUAAUGCCUCAUGGUAUUGUAGACUGGCAUCAGUUUAUAAUUAAAGAUUUAUCGGUAAAAGAUGGCUAUGCGUCCUAUUAGUUAGUUGGUAAGGUAACGGCUUACCAAGACAGCGAUAGGUAGGGGUCCUGAGAGGGAGAUCCCCCACACUGGUACUGAGACACGGACCAGACUCCUACGGGAGGCAGCAGUGAGGAAUAUUGGACAAUGGAGGAGACUCUGAUCCAGCCAUGCCGCGUGUAGGAAGAAUGCCCUAUGGGUUGUAAACUACUUUUAUACAGGAAGAAACACUGGUAUGUAUACCAGCUUGACGGUACUGUAAGAAUAAGGACCGG